Molecule: long non-coding RNA, 552 nt
Organism: Thunnus maccoyii (southern bluefin tuna)
Lineage: Eukaryota; Metazoa; Chordata; Actinopteri; Scombriformes; Scombridae
Exons: 3
Source: RefSeq, a predicted model, not a curated record
ACUCCAGUCGCACACAAGAACGUCGGGUUUGCUUUAUGUACAACACAUGAACGGACACUCAUGGAUGCACACUUUCAUACAGGUGAACGGGGUGACAUUCACCGGUGUAUUUAUACCACCAGCUGCUCUCUUGCCUGGACGUGCUGUUCCAUCCAGACAUCACAGUUAUCACGCCGCAACAUUUCUCCCUCAGCCAUGACUGGAUUCAGAUUGUGCCGUUGCCUCAUUACACCAGCUAGCUACUGCAUCCCAAACACUAACACUAAACAGCACACGACGUACCUUUGAGAGCUAUUCUACGGUGAGGAGCCUGAUUCGACCUCUCUAGUGAAUCCAGCUCUGCCUGUCAGAGCCGUCGCUCAUAUGAGGAGACACACUCGCUACUACAAACAGAAGUGCUGAUGGGGAAAUGUUAUUGAUGUCAUGACGUCUGUCAGGGAAUUUCCCCCCCUGAAUGAGCUGAGCAGAGCUCUUCUCCGCGGCGGCUCUCCUCCUCCACUGGUGUUCCCACGGGCAUCUGAGCGUGUCUCUACAGCUCCAUGGUUGACCCUG